ACAGUUGUGCUUCUGAACAUGGCUCUGCAACUCCUCAAGAGAUACAGAGUUUCUUGGCUCAGUGUGACAUGAUAAGUUAGAAUUGGUUGGAAAGAGAGAUUUAUCAAUAAACAAAUGAUACUGUUUAGGCUAACAGUAAGUAAACUAAUGAAAUUUUACUUAUAAUAUCACAAAAAGCUGGACAUUUGAACAAACCAUCACAUGUACGGAAAUGAGCUUCCAAGAAUUAGCAGUCCCAUUGGAGAUAUUCUUGUGCUGAGAUUUCCAGUCAUGACAUCAAACAACAGUAAUAUAGAGGAGGCUUUCAUUACAUACAAAUCAAGGGCUCCAGAAACUCUUUCAAGAAAAGACUACGGCUUAUUUGCCUAUUUUCAGACAUAUUGAUAUCUAGAAGAAUUGUUAGUUUUAUAAGAUCCUUGAAAUUAAUAUGUAGAAGAGUAUGUUCCCGUACCCUGAAGUUAGAAUACUUAUGAACACAUCAACGCUACCGGUGGUUACACAGAAUUUAAAGAGAAGAAGAAGAAGAAGAAAGCAGAGAUUAAGGCUUAC
RNAcentral lists this long non-coding RNA (549 nucleotides) under Prunus persica (peach). RNAcentral describes it as "long non-coding RNA (PPER_LNC002879)". Lineage: Eukaryota; Viridiplantae; Streptophyta; Magnoliopsida; Rosales; Rosaceae. The record is from RNAcentral.